GUGUGGGCCUUAAGACGUACAACAGGGCCACCCUCCACCACAGGGUCUGAAGGAGGAACUGUAAAGCAGAACAAACAUACCACUCAAAACAAAAAAACUCAUUACAGCUCCAGGCCAGCACAGAGCCAGAAAGCAGUCAUACUGAUAUUGAGUUUACUAUUGUUCUUAGCUCAGCCAGCAUCAAUAUAUCGCUACAGCAAAAGAAGCAAACAAUAUCUCCUUAUGGCCAUGUGUCUGUUUAACAAGGUGUAGUUUCAGACAGGAGAAAACACCACGAGCAGUUGUCCAUUGAAAAAAAGAAAUAUAAAAACAGACUCAACCUUAUUUAUUUCCUUAUUUCUUGGGACUAGCAUUAUUACUCUAUUUGCUCUUACUGUUGCAGAGUGAUGUUUCAACUGAAUUGCUUAUUUGUUCAUUUAUUUGCAUGGUUUCGCACGCACCACUGGCAAGCCAAGCGUGCCACCCCUGAUGAAGGCGUCUAUCUCCCCAACCAAUAAGAGAAGGCGUAAACAUGAGGUGUGCAUCGUUAUGGCUGUAUGUGGGCAUGUGAAGACCGCACUGCUUUGUGCUGUUCUGUGCAGCUUUGACAGCGACACGCUGGAAGGUGGGCUGAUGAACACAGUCUGUACGCUGAUGAUACAGCCUGAAGUGCUGUAACUGGGGAAGAAGAAGACUCCAGGCAAUGGCAGGAAGCUGACACGGCCCCUCCAUUGUCCUAUUCCCUGUCAUUUCCUCCCGGAUCCUCCGACUGCCCCAGAGGAAGACAAGGUGAGGAUGUGCAGAGACAGACACAAGGAGAACGCAAAGACAAAAAGAG
Long non-coding RNA from Scatophagus argus, 817 nucleotides. RefSeq lists it as uncharacterized. The transcript has 3 exons. NCBI's taxonomy places the organism in Eukaryota, Metazoa, Chordata, Actinopteri, Scatophagidae. The record is from RefSeq and is a predicted model, not a curated record.